Non-coding RNA from Colius striatus (speckled mousebird), 128 nucleotides. The record is from Rfam. NCBI's taxonomy places the organism in Eukaryota, Metazoa, Chordata, Aves, Coliiformes, Coliidae.
UUGGCCCUCAAUCAAGGCCAUCGGUUUGCUGUAGCCGUUGGUUUCAAACAGGAGCCCAGAGCAAUGUGUCCCGGUCUGUUGGUGCUCCCGUGCUCAUGGAGCGGCCAAUUCGUGUGGGAGCCACAGGA